RNAcentral lists this ribosomal RNA (495 nucleotides) under uncultured bacterium. Its description in RNAcentral is "partial 16S ribosomal RNA". It matches the Rfam family "Bacterial small subunit ribosomal RNA", at positions 29 to 507 of the family's 1533-position model. The record is from RNAcentral.
AUGCACGCUGGCGGCGUGCCUAAUACAUGCAAGUCGAGCGAACGGACGAGAAGCUUGCUUCUCUGAUGUUAGCGGCGGACGGGUGAGUAACACGUGGAUAACCUACCUAUAAGCCUGGGAUAACUUCGGGAAACCGGAGCUAAUACCGGAUGAUAUUUUGAACCGCAUGGUUCAAAAGUGAAAGACGGUCUUGCUGUCACUUAUAGAUGGAUCCGCGCUGCAUUAGCUAGUUGGUAAGGUAACGGCUUACCAAGGCAACGAUGCAUAGCCGACCUGAGAGGUGAUCGGCCACACUGGAACUGAGACACGGUCCAGACUCCUACGGGAGGCAGCAGUAGGGAAUCUUCCGCAAUGGGCGAAAGCCUGACGGAGCAACGCCGCGUGAGUGAUGAAGGUCUUCGGAUCGUAAAACUCUGUUAUUAGGGAAGAACAUAUGUGUAAGUAACUGUGCACAUCUUGACGGUACCUAAUCAGAAAGCCACGGCUAACUACGUG